RNAcentral lists this ribosomal RNA (197 nucleotides) under uncultured bacterium. Its description in RNAcentral is "partial 16S ribosomal RNA". It matches the Rfam family "Bacterial small subunit ribosomal RNA", at positions 1293 to 1500 of the family's 1533-position model. The record is from RNAcentral.
UCGGACUGCAGGCUGCAACUCGCCUGCACGAAGCCGGAGUUGCUAGUAAUCGCGGAUCAGAAUGCCGCGGUGAAUGCGUUCCCGGGUCUUGUACACACCGCCCGUCACACCAUGGAAGUUGGGGUGCCCAAAGCCGGCAGGGAAAUAUGCUGUCUAAGGCAAAACCAAUGACUGGGGUGAAGUCGUAACAAGGUAUC